RNAcentral lists this non-coding RNA (126 nucleotides) under Hyaloperonospora arabidopsidis Emoy2. Lineage: Eukaryota; Oomycota; Peronosporomycetes; Peronosporales; Peronosporaceae. The record is from RNAcentral.
GUGUUCGUGGAGCCGAGAGAAGGUUAGCAUCUCCCUCGACAAGGACGGGAUUGCACGAAAGUGUGUCCAGUAUCUGGAAAGUCUAAGCUCUGUCCUCCACAGUGAGGAAAUUUAUCAUAGUUUUCU